UACGGAGGUGGCAAGCGUUGUUCGGAAUUACUGGGCGUAAAGGGCGCGUAGGCGGCUUUUCAAGUCGGGCGUGAAAUCUCCGGGCUUAACCCGGAAGGGUCGUUCGAUACUGUUGAGCUAGAGUGUGGAAGAGGCAACUAGAAUUCCGUGUGUAGCGGUGAAAUGCGUAGAUAUACGGAGGAAUACCUGAGGCGAAGGCGGGUUGCUGGGCCAACACUGACGCUGAGGCGCGAAAGCCAGGGGAGCAAACGGG
This 253-nucleotide ribosomal RNA is filed under the name uncultured bacterium. RNAcentral's name for it is "partial 16S ribosomal RNA". It matches the Rfam family "Bacterial small subunit ribosomal RNA", at positions 524 to 776 of the family's 1533-position model. The record is from RNAcentral.